RNAcentral lists this transfer RNA (86 nucleotides) under Methyloprofundus sp. RNAcentral describes it as "tRNA-Leu". It matches the Rfam family "tRNA". From Rfam's summary of the family: Transfer RNA (tRNA) molecules are approximately 80 nucleotides in length. Their secondary structure includes four short double-helical elements and three loops (D, anti-codon, and T loops). The record is from RNAcentral. Lineage: Bacteria; Pseudomonadati; Pseudomonadota; Gammaproteobacteria; Methylococcales; Methylococcaceae.
GCGAAUGUGGUGAAACGGUAGACACGCCAGCUUGAGGGGCUGGUGCCAGUAAUGGUGUGGGGGUUCAAAUCCCCCCAUUCGCACCA